AGAAGAUGUGAUGCAUUGGCCUCCCCCUGCAGGAGUUGGGAACGCGCAGAUUCCGCGAAUCACAGUUUUCAGAUAUGGCUGAAAUGUGAAUAUUCCGAUUGAAAUGUUAUGAUGAUUACGUGUAUCUGAGAUCUCAAGUGGUGUGCCUGUUUCCAGUGCAGUGGAGCAGCCCAGAAAUCUGAGGGGUGAUUGUGAGUAACGAGUCCUCGUUUCAGCUGCCGCACGUGCGUGUGUUUCUGUUUCUGUUGUAGUGAUAACCCAAGUGAGCAGCUCAGGGAUCAGGACCUGAGGUUUUCAGCACAAACGACAAGAGGUUCAAGUAGAAAAGCAGGUAAGAAGCCCGUUCUAUGGAGCUGGUAUUUCUCUUCUCUCUCUCUCUCUCUCUUUUUGGGGAGCAGUAGCAAGGUUUAUUGUGAAGAGCGAAAGAACAAAGCUUCCACAGUGUGG
Molecule: long non-coding RNA, 447 nt
Filed under: Homo sapiens (human)
Lineage: Eukaryota; Metazoa; Chordata; Mammalia; Primates; Hominidae
Description: non-protein coding lnc-ANKMY1-5:5
Source: RNAcentral